Podarcis lilfordi (Lilford's wall lizard) is the source of this 74-nucleotide non-coding RNA. NCBI's taxonomy places the organism in Eukaryota, Metazoa, Chordata, Lepidosauria, Squamata, Lacertidae. The record is from the annotation of a GenBank genome assembly.
GAAGGGCUGUUGCUCAGUAGUAGAGCAUCUGCUUUGCAUGCAGAAGAUCCCAGGUUCAAUCCUGGGUAUCUUUA